This 253-nucleotide ribosomal RNA is filed under the name uncultured bacterium. Its description in RNAcentral is "partial 16S ribosomal RNA". It matches the Rfam family "Bacterial small subunit ribosomal RNA", at positions 524 to 776 of the family's 1533-position model. The record is from RNAcentral.
UACGAGGGGGGCAAGCGUUGUUCGGGAUUAUUGGGCGUAAAGGGUGCGUAGGCGGUUUGGUAAGUCUUAUGUGAAAUCUACAGGCUCAACUUGUAGUCUGCAUGAGAAACUGCCGGGCUUGAGUAUGGGAGAGGUGAGUGGAAUUCCUGGUGUAGCGGUGAAAUGCGUAGAUAUCAGGAGGAACACCUGUGGCGAAAGCGGCUCACUGGACCAUAACUGACGCUGAUGCACGAAAGCUAGGGGAGCAAACAGG